Molecule: non-coding RNA, 20 nt
Filed under: Rattus norvegicus (Norway rat)
Lineage: Eukaryota; Metazoa; Chordata; Mammalia; Rodentia; Muridae
Source: RNAcentral
ACAGUGAUCCGGUGGCUGAG